Molecule: ribosomal RNA, 427 nt
Filed under: uncultured beta proteobacterium
Lineage: Bacteria; Pseudomonadati; Pseudomonadota; Betaproteobacteria
Description: bacterial SSU rRNA
Rfam family: Bacterial small subunit ribosomal RNA
Source: RNAcentral
UGGGGAAUUUUGGACAAUGGGCGAAAGCCUGAUCCAGCCAUGCCGCGUGAGUGAAGAAGGCCUUCGGGUUGUAAAGCUCUUUUAGUCGGAAAGAAAGAGUUGCAAUGAAUAAUUGUGAUUUAUGACGGUACCGACAGAAAAAGCACCGGCUAACUACGUGCCAGCAGCCGCGGUAAUACGCAGGGUGCGAGCGUUAAUCGGAAUUACUGGGCGUAAAGGGUGCGCAGGCGGUCUUGCAAGUCAGAUGUGAAAGCCCCGGGCUUAACCUGGGAAUUGCGUUUGAAACUACAAGGCUAGAGUGCAGCAGAGGGGAGUGGAAUUCCAUGUGUAGCAGUGAAAUGCGUAGAGAUGUGGAAGAACACCGAUGGCGAAGGCAGCUCCCUGGGUUGACACUGACGCUCAUGCACGAAAGCGUGGGGAGCAAACA